GAUCUGGCUCAGGACGAACGCUGGCGGCGCGCCUAACACAUGCAAGUCGAACGAGCGAGAGAGAGCUUGCUUUCUUAAGCGAGUGGCGAACGGGUGAGUAACGCGUGAGGAACCUGCCUCAAAGAGGGGGACAACAGUUGGAAACGACUGCUAAUACCGCAUAAGCCCACAGCUCGGCAUCGAGCAGAGGGAAAAGGAGCAAUCCGCUUUGAGAUGGCCUCGCGUCCGAUUAG
RNAcentral lists this ribosomal RNA (233 nucleotides) under uncultured bacterium. Its description in RNAcentral is "partial 16S ribosomal RNA". It matches the Rfam family "Bacterial small subunit ribosomal RNA", at positions 15 to 244 of the family's 1533-position model. The record is from RNAcentral.